Molecule: ribosomal RNA, 1504 nt
Filed under: Streptococcus suis
Lineage: Bacteria; Bacillati; Bacillota; Bacilli; Lactobacillales; Streptococcaceae
Description: bacterial SSU rRNA
Rfam family: Bacterial small subunit ribosomal RNA
Source: RNAcentral
GACGAACGCUGGCGGCGUGCCUAAUACAUGCAAGUAGAACGCUGAAGUCUGGUGCUUGCACUAGACGGAUGAGUUGCGAACGGGUGAGUAACGCGUAGGUAACCUGCCUCAUAGCGGGGGAUAACUAUUGGAAACGAUAGCUAAUACCGCAUAACAGUAUUUACCGCAUGGUAGAUAUUUGAAAGGAGCAAUUGCUUCACUAUGAGAUGGACCUGCGUUGUAUUAGCUAGUUGGUGAGGUAACGGCUCACCAAGGCUUCGAUACAUAGCCGACCUGAGAGGGUGAUCGGCCACACUGGGACUGAGACACGGCCCAGACUCCUACGGGAGGCAGCAGUAGGGAAUCUUCGGCAAUGGGGGCAACCCUGACCGAGCAACGCCGCGUGAGUGAAGAAGGUUUUCGGAUCGUAAAGCUCUGUUGUAAGAGAAGAACUGUGAGAAGAGUGGAAAGUUUCUCACUUGACGGUAUCUUACCAGAAAGGGACGGCUAACUACGUGCCAGCAGCCGCGGUAAUACGUAGGUCCCGAGCGUUGUCCGGAUUUAUUGGGCGUAAAGCGAGCGCAGGCGGUUUGAUAAGUCUGAAGUAAAAGGCUGUGGCUUAACCAUAGUACGCUUUGGAAACUGUCAAACUUGAGUGCAGAAGGGGAGAGUGGAAUUCCAUGUGUAGCGGUGAAAUGCGUAGAUAUAUGGAGGAACACCGGUGGCGAAAGCGGCUCUCUGGUCUGUAACUGACGCUGAGGCUCGAAAGCGUGGGGAGCGAACAGGAUUAGAUACCCUGGUAGUCCACGCCGUAAACGAUGAGUGCUAGGUGUUGGGUCCUUUCCGGGACUCAGUGCCGCAGCUAACGCAUUAAGCACUCCGCCUGGGGAGUACGACCGCAAGGUUGAAACUCAAAGGAAUUGACGGGGGCCCGCACAAGCGGUGGAGCAUGUGGUUUAAUUCGAAGCAACGCGAAGAACCUUACCAGGUCUUGACAUCCCGAUGACCGCCCUAGAGAUAGGGUUUCUCUUCGGAGCAUCGGUGACAGGUGGUGCAUGGUUGUCGUCAGCUCGUGUCGUGAGAUGUUGGGUUAAGUCCCGCAACGAGCGCAACCCCUAUUGUUAGUUGCCAUCAUUCAGUUGGGCACUCUAGCGAGACUGCCGGUAAUAAACCGGAGGAAGGUGGGGAUGACGUCAAAUCAUCAUGCCCCUUAUGACCUGGGCUACACACGUGCUACAAUGGCUGGUACAACGAGUCGCAAGUCGGUGACGGCAAGCUAAUCUCUUAAAGCCAGUCUCAGUUCGGAUUGUAGGCUGCAACUCGCCUACAUGAAGUCGGAAUCGCUAGUAAUCGCGGAUCAGCACGCCGCGGUGAAUACGUUCCCGGGCCUUGUACACACCGCCCGUCACACCACGAGAGUUUGUAACACCCGAAGUCGGUGAGGUAACCUUUUAGGAGCCAGCCGCCUAAGGUGGGAUAGAUGAUUGGGGUGAAGUCGUAACAAGGUAGCCGUAUCGGAAGGUGC